Molecule: ribosomal RNA, 291 nt
Filed under: uncultured Chloroflexota bacterium
Lineage: Bacteria; Bacillati; Chloroflexota
Description: uncultured Chloroflexi bacterium partial 16S ribosomal RNA
Rfam family: Bacterial small subunit ribosomal RNA
Source: RNAcentral
CACGAGCGCACCCCUGCGGUUAGUUGAAUGCUCUAGCCGGACUGCCACGAUCAACGUGGAGGAAGGCGGGGAUGACGUCAAGUCAGCACGGCCCUUACGUCCUGGGCGACACACACGCUACAAUGGUCACGACAAAGAGUUGCGAACGCGCGAGCGGGAGCCAAUCUCGUCAAACGUGGCCUCAGUUCAGAUUGGAGGCUGCAACCCGCCUCCAUGAAGUGGGAGUUGCUAGUAACCGUGAGUCAGCAUAUCACGGUGAAUACGUUCCCGGGUCUUGCACACACCGCCCGU